CCUCCUCUCACGCAGGCGCAGAUGCUGCGGCCACCAGCGCGCUGGCGCUACGCCGAUUCGUCCCGAGCGCCCCUAUAGGCAUCAGAUCCAGAAAUUCUUAAAUAUCCUUGCCAGUUCCAUGCGAGCUCUUGGACUCGCACUCACGGCUGCCCUCGGCUGACGCUGCACGGGGCGCGUGGUCCCGGUGUCAUGGCGAAUCAGCGGCGCGCGGGAGGGAGCACGCGGCCUUGGCUCUGAAGCAUGGGGGCCGGGGGAACCCUGUAGGAGUGGUUGGUCCGCCCUGUCCUGCAAGAUGGACCCAGCACUGUCUGCUGUCCGACUCACCGUCCAAGAAGCUAUUCACACCCUUUCAUCCUCAGAGGAUGUAGGCCACAUCCUCUCUACCCUGGGGACCUUGAAUCGAUACCUGGGUGGAACCGAGGAUCCAGCUCUCUCUGAGAAGGAGGAGUUUACCACCAACCACUUCUCAGCCGUUCUCAGAUGUCUGGUCAGCAAGCUGAGCCCAGGUUGGCUGGAGUUAUCCCCUGAUGGCCAGCUGGAGCGGCUUUGGGAGAGCUUCUUCCUGGAGGGCCCCCCAGACCAAGCCUUCCUGGUGCUGAUGGAGGCCAUUGAGAGCACUGCUGGCCCUAGCUUCCGUCUGAUGAAGACGGCUCGGCUCCUGGAGACGUUUCUGAGCAAGGGCAGAGUGGCCGCUCUAAUGGAGGAGCAGUGUCGGCCGCAGACAAAGCCCAGCUUCCCCCUGUUCCAGGAGACGCUGCUCAGCAAGGUGGUGGGCUUGCCCGAUCACCUGGGCAACUGUCUCCAGCACGACAACCUGACCCUGUUCUUCCCCCAGAACUAUUUCCCUCUGCUCGGCCAGGAGGUCGUGCAAGCUCUAAAGGCAGUUGUGAAUUUUCUCCAAGAUGGCCUAGACUGCUCUGUCUCCUUCGUGUCUCAAGUCUUGGGGAAGGUCUGCAUCCAGGGGAGAAAGAAAGAGAUCCUGGGCGUGCUGGUGCCCCAGCUGACAGUGCUCACCCAGGACAGCUGUCUGUGGCAGCGGGUGUGCUGGCGCCUGGUGGAGCAAGUGCCUGACCGGGCAGUGGAGGCUGUGCUGACAGGGCUUGUAGAGGCCACUCACAGGCCUGAAGUCGUGUCGCGACUCCUAGGGAACGUGGUGGUGAAGAGUAAGAAAGCACAGUUUGUGAUGACCCGGAAGCUCCUGUUCCUGCAGUACCAGCACACGACAUCCAUGCUGCAGAGCCUGCUGGGGUACCUGGCUAUGGACAGUCAGCGGCGGCCACUCCUCAUACAGGUGCUGAAGGAGCUCUUGGAGACGUGGGGCAACAGCAGUGCUGUCCGUCACGCACCCCUGGAGCAGCAGUGCUACAUCAGCAAGGCCAUCCUGGUCUGCCUGGCACACCUGGGGGAGCCGGAGCUGCAGGGCAUCCGGGAUGAUUUGCUGGCCAGCAUGAUGGCAGGCGUGAAGUGUCGCCUGGACAGCAGCCUGCCCCCCGUGCGUCGCUUGGGCAUGAUCGUGGCCGAGGUCGUCAGCUCCAGGAUCCACCCCGAGGGGCCUCCCCUGAAAUUCCAAUAUGAAGAUGAUGAGAUGAGCCGUGAGAUGCUGGCCUUGGCCACCCCCUGGUCUGCGGAUGCCUGCUCCUCGGAGAACGGAGGCCCUUCCCUGGCUCCGGUUGCCACAGAGACUCCUGUUGAGACACCUGAAAAGGCAAUGGGCAGUGAUGUCCCCCCAGCUCAGCCGCAGGGCUCUGACUCAGAGCUGGACAGUGAUGAUGAGUUCAUCCCCUAUGAUAUGUCAGGGGACAAAGAGCUGAAGACCAGCAAGGAACCCCUGUAUAUCCGAGACUGCAUAGAAGCCUUGACCACAUCUGAGGACAUGGAGCGCUGGGAGGCAGCCCUGAAGGUGCUUGAGGGCAUGGUUUAUAGGAGCCCUGAGGCCACUCGGGAGGUGAGUGAGGAGCUGGCCAAGGUGCUACUGCACCUGGAAGAGAAGACCUGCGUGGCGGACUUUGAACAACUGCGUCAGAGAGCGCUGGUGGCUGUCACGGUCGCACACCCGGAGCAGGUAGCCAAGUAUCUGACCUCACAGUUCUAUGGCCUGAACUACAGCCUCCGGCAGCGCAUGGACAUCCUGGAUGUCCUUGUUCUGGCUGCUCAGGCACUGUCUCGGCCACGGAGCCUCCAGAGGCCUUCCCAGCACGGUCCUCCUGGGUCUGGCAUCUUGUGUUCACCAGCACUAGAUAUUUCUCAGCCUGGCAGCGCUGUGGUCCCUGACUGGCAGGUGGUUGUGGAGGAGCGGAUCAAAAGCAAGACCCGGAGGUUCUCCAAGGGCUGUCCUCGGAGGGAGCUGUCAGGUGGCCCCAAUGAAUUCAGCUCCGUGGCCGGCUGCUUCUUCUUCCCACUCCUUCAGCACUUUGACAGGCCUCUGGUGACCUUCGACCUUUUAGGAGAUGAUCAGUUGGUACUUGGAAGACUGGCCCACACCUUAGCGUCCCUGAUGUACCUGGCUGUUAACACCACAGUGGCUGUGCCUAUGGGUAAGGCCCUGCUCGAGUUUGUGUGGGCCCUUCGCUUCCAUGUGGACACGUGAGUGGCCCACGCGGCUAAGGGAAGCACAGGCUCUCUAAGGCUGCAUGCCUAACGUUUCCUAACAAGAAGGGGCCAAUCAGGCCCGAGGGGGCUCAGAGAGGGCUGGAGUGAGCUUUGCUGCAGGUUGGCCUGCUGGACUCUGUACACGUGGGAGGUCCUUCCCAUAGGCUCGUUGGAGGCUCCAUUCACAUUGUCCUAUUUCGCCUUCCCCCACCCUGUUGAUUGGUAGUUAUGUUCGCCGGGGCUUGCUGUCUGCUGUCUCCUCGGUCCUCCUCAGUGUACCCACAGAGCGGCUAUUGGGGGACCUGCCAGAUGAGCUGCUAGAAGCCAGAUCCUGGUUGGCAGAUGUGGCUGAGAAGGAUGUGGAUGAGGACUGCAGGGAGCUGGCGGUGAGGGCGCUGCUGCUUCUGGAGCGACUCAAAGAUAAGCUCCUGUCCAUUUCCUCCCCAUAGCCCCGAGGACUCCACAGGGGCCCAGAUGGACCCUCGGCUGUCCCCACAAGGGAAGGCCUCUGAGGAGCGGGUCCACACCUGAGCUUUACGUGGCAAUCAGGCCUGGAGGGGCCGGUUGGUCCCAGUGUGCAUAAAGUAAGCUCCUACCAGUCUGACCUACCCUGCCGUUAGUUAUGCCCUGGCAAGGCUGAGCAUUCAGCUAAAGGUACCGGAGCCUGUGCCAUGGGACUCAACAGCCUUGGACUGACCAGAAUUUGGACUGGGGGUGUGAGGGCCAAGAGGUGCCUCCUCCUGAGAGCAGAACUUUGGGCUCUGGCCAGGGUCUCAAGAGCGAAAAUAAAAAGAUAAGAUUCAGCUUCUAGUGUACCCCAAUGGGGAUGCUAGAACAGAGACCAGGGGUAGCCUGCUGGGUCCCCAGGGGCUUCUUGACAGUGUUCCUGUGAGAAUAAAUGGGGCUGUAGAUGUCA
This is an RNA transcript of Peromyscus eremicus (cactus mouse), 3505 nucleotides long. It is a transcript of the gene named telomere maintenance 2, with no coding region annotated. The transcript is spliced from 20 exons. NCBI's taxonomy places the organism in Eukaryota, Metazoa, Chordata, Mammalia, Rodentia, Cricetidae. The record is from RefSeq and is a predicted model, not a curated record.